UAAAUGUCUCGUGGUGAUUUGGCCGGCCGGCUUGCAGCCACGUUAAACAAGUCGCUAAAGGGCCGUGGGUGAAACGGA
RNAcentral lists this non-coding RNA (78 nucleotides) under Rhizobium sp. RNAcentral also lists the same sequence under 1 other name. Lineage: Bacteria; Pseudomonadati; Pseudomonadota; Alphaproteobacteria; Hyphomicrobiales; Rhizobiaceae. The record is from RNAcentral.